This 393-nucleotide ribosomal RNA is filed under the name uncultured Treponema sp. RNAcentral describes it as "bacterial SSU rRNA". It matches the Rfam family "Bacterial small subunit ribosomal RNA", at positions 355 to 762 of the family's 1533-position model. The record is from RNAcentral. Lineage: Bacteria; Pseudomonadati; Spirochaetota; Spirochaetia; Treponematales; Treponemataceae.
UGGGGAAUAUUGGGCAAUGGGCGAAAGCCUGACCCAGCAACGCCGCGUGAGGGAAGAAGGGUUUCGGCUCGUAAACCUCUGUCCUAUGGGACGAAAGAGAUGACGGUACCAUAGGAGGAAGCCCCGGCUAACUACGUGCCAGCAGCCGCGGUAACACGUAAGGUGCGAGCGUUGUUCGGAAUUAUUGGGCGUAAAGGGCAUGUAGGCGGACCUGCAAGCUUGGAGUGAAAUCCACGGGCUCAACCCGUGAACUGCUCCGAGAACUGCAGGACUCGAAUCGCUGAGGGGGAGCCGGAAUUCCAGGUGUAGGGGUGAAAUCUGUAGAUAUCUGGAAGAACACCAAUGGCGAAGGCAGGUUUCUAGCAGACGAUUGACGCUGAGGUGCGAAGGUGC